UCUGGAAGAGCAGUCAAUGCUCUUAACUUCUGAGCCAUCUCUCCAGCUCCCGUAAAUCUUUAUAAAAACAAAUGCAAACAGGGCUGGAGAGAUGGCUCAGAGGUUAAGAGCACUGGCUACUCUUUCAGAGGUC
RNAcentral lists this microRNA precursor (133 nucleotides) under Mesocricetus auratus (golden hamster). RNAcentral's name for it is "miRNA (ENSMAUG00000006273.1)". The stretch from base 26 to 104 matches the Rfam family "mir-3473 microRNA precursor family". The record is from RNAcentral. Lineage: Eukaryota; Metazoa; Chordata; Mammalia; Rodentia; Cricetidae.